CCUACGGGCGGCUGCAGUGGGGAAUAUUGGGCAAUGGGCGCAAGCCUGACCCAGCAACGCCGCGUGAAGGAAGAAGGCUUUCGGGUUGUAAACUUCUUUCGUCAGGGAAGAGUAGAAGACGGUACCUGACGAAUAAGCCACGGCUAACUACGUGCCAGCAGCCGCGGUAAUACGUAGGUGGCAAGCGUUGUCCGGCUUUACUGGGUGUAAAGGGCGUGUAGCCGGGUUGACAAGUCAGAUGUGAAAUCCUGCGGCUUAACCGCAGAACUGCAUUUGAAACUGGUGAUCUUGAGUACUGGAGAGGCGGAUAGAAUUCCAAGUGUAGCGGUGAAAUGCGUAGAUAUUAGGAGGAACACCAGUGGCGAAGGCGGUCUGCUGGACAGAAACUGACGGUGAGGUGCGAAAGCGUGGGGAGCAAACAGGAUUAGAUACCCGAGUAGUC
This 442-nucleotide ribosomal RNA is filed under the name uncultured bacterium. RNAcentral describes it as "partial 16S ribosomal RNA". It matches the Rfam family "Bacterial small subunit ribosomal RNA", at positions 338 to 795 of the family's 1533-position model. The record is from RNAcentral.